This 484-nucleotide ribosomal RNA is filed under the name uncultured bacterium. RNAcentral describes it as "partial 16S ribosomal RNA". It matches the Rfam family "Bacterial small subunit ribosomal RNA", at positions 30 to 507 of the family's 1533-position model. The record is from RNAcentral.
AUUGAACGCUAGCGGGAUGCUUUACACAUGCAAGUCGAACGGCAGCGCGGACUUCGGUCUGGCGGCGAGUGGCGAACGGGUGAGUAAUGUAUCGGAACGUGCCCAGUAGCGGGGGAUAACUACGCGAAAGCGUAGCUAAUACCGCAUACGCCCUACGGGGGAAAGCAGGGGAUCGUAAGACCUUGCACUAUUGGAGCGGCCGAUAUCGGAUUAGCUAGUUGGUGAGGUAACGGCUCACCAAGGCGACGAUCCGUAGCUGGUUUGAGAGGACGACCAGCCACACUGGGACUGAGAAACGGCCCAGACUCCUACGGGAGGCAGCAGUGGGGAAUUUUGGACAAUGGGGGCAACCCUGAUCAAGCCAUCCCGCGUGUGCGAUGAAGGCCUGCGGGUUGUAAAGCACUUUUGGCAGGAAAGAAACGUCGCGGGCUAAUACCCCGUGGAACUGACGGUACCUGCAGAAUAAGCACCGGCUAACUACGUG